Molecule: unclassified non-coding RNA, 1971 nt
Filed under: Hevea brasiliensis (rubber tree)
Lineage: Eukaryota; Viridiplantae; Streptophyta; Magnoliopsida; Malpighiales; Euphorbiaceae
Source: RNAcentral
CUUUCUCAACCUAAUUCAUCGCACCUCCACACUGCCACCUAAUCCACUCCUGGUGCGGCAUUGCUUUUAGCCUUUGCAAUAUGCUCAUUCCUUCCCAGCCAAACAAUGCCAUGGCUACGAUCGCACCUCAGUCGCUUACCCAGUUAGCACAAAGCCUACCUGCGGUGAUCAAUCCUACAAGAUCUGGUGUGACACAUGUGUACUCAGAUUUGACAAGCUCAAAAAUUCCUAUCUGAUAAUUUCCGUCAGCCCAUCAAGCCGACGACUGGUGAUACAAUAUGGUACUUGAAUCCCAUCUGAUUUUAUCCACCAAGGUAUCCAGUUGGACUCUUGCCUUCCGUUUAAUAUCAUGUGCGACAACACUGUCGUGGUUUUUAAUUGCUCCAAAGAAUUCAUCUUUCCUUUCUUUUCGUGAGGGCGAGAAAAAGGAGCUAGUUUACAGAAAUUCUAUGCCAAUGUGAUGUCAUUAUUAUGAAUUAUCCGCAACGACAUUAUAACUCUCAUUUCUUUUUUUAUUUUUUUCCUAUAUUCAAUUUAAAAGGUAAAAGAAAAUAAACCUUACCAUUAUCUCCACUAAUUCACCCCAUUCAAGUAUGAAUAUUGAUACGUCUGAUAUACCCUUCUUAUCCCUCUUUUCCUUUAUCCUCGACCAAACAAAGCCUAAUUUCCAUAUUGUAGGCAUUGACAUUGUCUUCCAAUAUAAAACUCAUCCCAUGUUCAAAAUAAAGAAAAUGCACAACAACAUUAUUUUACAGCACCCUCAAGAUUAUUGAUUUUCUAUUGAAAUGCACAGUUAAUAUUUGGAACUUCAGCUACGCCCCAUUUUCCAAAAUCUAACAAGACCAACGGCACUUAAAGCAUUGACGACGUAUUCUAUUCUCAUUUUCUUAAUUGACAUUCUUAAUCAUUAAGAUAUGUAUCAACAACAUCAAUUCAAAAUAUUAUUAGGGUUGGAGAAUAUAACAAGUUAGAAAACUGGUAAUUUCCAAUUCUGUUAUUUAUAAAGAAUCUUGAUACGACACAACCCACUUCCUACUCUAAUUUCUCCUCAAACCUGAAUUGAUCCACACUAACAAGUAACAACCAACAAGAGCGGGCGGAUUUGUACCUGUGUAAGCGCUGCCCAUCAACUCAACUCUACAAUGACACUUGAGAACGGUAAUUAAUAACACCAGGACACAAGCCAAAAAGACACUCAAAAAUAGGAGGACAAAAAAAGCAAAGUGAUAAAAUUGAAAUCUUGCAUUAAUUGUCAUUGUGGGAAAUCAAUUCUUCCCACAACUUUUCUAUUUAGCCAACUACAAGACAAUCGAUUAUAUUCACAUCCCUAACUGAACCUAACUACAAUAACUACACCUCCACAAGCACGAAAGACUCGAAUCCUAACAUAAAAAUUAACUAAACAAACAGGAAUAUAUAUAUUAAAUCGCAGUGGAAACACAUUAGCAGAAAGACUUUUUUGGGAUCUUAAAACACAUCCUUACUGACUAUGAAUUUAACUGUCAUCAUCAGCAGAGGCCUUAGAGCCUGAGGUGCCAGUCUUCUUUGGCAGGAGGAGGUUAUGGAUAUUAGGCAUCACACCUCCAUUAGCAAUAGUAACAUCGCCUAACAGCUUGCUCAGUUCCUCAUCGUUCCUCACAGCUAGCUGGAUGUGGCGCGGAACAAUUCUGGUCUUCUUAUUGUCUCUAGCUGCAUUUCCAGCUAAUUCAAGCACCUCAGCAGCGAGGUACUCGAGAACGGCAGCGAGAUAGACAGGGGCGCCGGCACCAACACGCUCGGCGUACUUGCCGGCCUUCAAGAACCUGGCGAUACGACCGACGGGAAACUGUAAACCGGCCUUGCUACUCCUCGAGGUGGCCUUCUUCGAGGCGCCAGAUCCUAGAGUUUUGCCUCUACCCGCCAUUCAAGCGAUACUUUAAGAAUCCAAGAAUGAAGAAUCGUUCGGGUACAGAGAGAGAGACAGAGAGAGAG